This 606-nucleotide small RNA is filed under the name Histoplasma capsulatum var. duboisii H88. RNAcentral's name for it is "Histoplasma capsulatum H88 hypothetical RNA". The record is from RNAcentral. Lineage: Eukaryota; Fungi; Ascomycota; Eurotiomycetes; Onygenales; Ajellomycetaceae.
CCAGCUUGGAGUGCACCUUCAGCAAAGAUCAUCGGAGAAUCAGAAAGAACCGUUGUGUCAUCCAUAGGGCGUGGCUGGCCGUGACUUUACGGCGGAGUCGACUCGGCCUCUUGUGCCUCUUAUAUAUACUACCCCUUUCAUUCAAUUCCAGCAUUGCCAGACCAGUUGCAUAAACUCUGAUAUCUUUCCCUUGUACUCUAGCGGUUGCUGAGCUGUAUCUCGCGACAGUUGCCCGACCUUGUACGGAAACCAUCACCCUCCCUACCCGAUUGUCUUGCGCGCCAUCAUAUGAUAUGAUUAUUGAAAAAUCAUAUCUAGCUAUUUACGCAAAAGAGUGUUCUUUUUUCGUUUAGCUUUUCUCUUCUAUUUUUUAUUUGGGAAAUCAUCAGGUGCUUGCGAUAUUUGAGCGUACAUUCUGUUUGCAUGAUCCGCGCCGUCACCUUUGACGGGAUGGCGGUUCUUAACUCCAUGUUAUAUUGCGAAGGGCUCAUGUUGAGGUCUUUUACAGAGCAUAUACCAGUUGAGGUUGCUCCUUUAUAUCUCCGGCCAUCGUACCGGCCGUCUUUGCUGAUAUAUCCGCAGUGAUAAGGCUGUCAUAUACGCGCA